AAAUAACGGUAAGUAAUUGUCCUAGUUUAAGCACGUUUAUUCCAUCUAAGCUGAACACACCUAAGCUAGAGGGAGUAUACAAUGGUGAAGAAAUGUGUCCUUGGAUGGGAGACAUAAAUGCCACCAUAGAGCAUCUUCAAAGGAAAGGAAAAGUAGGUGAAUCAUGAGACACAGCAAGAAGAGCAAAUUGAGACUAUUGAGAAGGAUAUGUGAUGCUGGGCAAGACAUACAGUAGGUUAUAUCAACUACAUGAUGUUCAACCUCAAGUUAGUAAGAGAAGAUGACACUGGGAUAUAUGAAGAAGGAAGCAGUUUCACAAAACUUAUGAGAAGCACAUCUAAAGCCAUGCUCAUU
Quercus lobata is the source of this 354-nucleotide long non-coding RNA. RefSeq lists it as uncharacterized. The transcript has 3 exons. The record is from RefSeq and is a predicted model, not a curated record. NCBI's taxonomy places the organism in Eukaryota, Viridiplantae, Streptophyta, Magnoliopsida, Fagales, Fagaceae.